Molecule: non-coding RNA, 1953 nt
Organism: Salmo salar (Atlantic salmon)
Lineage: Eukaryota; Metazoa; Chordata; Actinopteri; Salmoniformes; Salmonidae
Source: RefSeq, a predicted model, not a curated record
UGAUACCAGAGGUGAUGGUGGUGAAUGGGGGAAGAGGAUGAUACCAGAGAUGAUGGUAGUGAAUUGUGGAAGAUAAUGGCAAGCAUGCCAUGCUGCCCUUUGUCUUGAGAGACUUUAAAAAGACACUUUCUAAAUCUCUCACUUCCUCUCACUCAUGUUCUUUCAAGCAUGCAACCCGGUGAUUGAGUCAAUCCUAGUGUUGAAAUGCAACCAGCAGUCAGGGAUAAGGAAAGUCAACACCAGCCCACGUGUUCUCAUUAGGCGGAGCUAAGAAGAACUGAAGAAGUAUAUUUCCUUCCCAUCUUCUGACUCUGGGCCAGUCAGUCUCUGUCUGGCACUUUCCAGCCACUUCCUAAACACUUAGGUGAGUGUCAAGCAUGCUACCUAGCAGAGGAGGAGGCAAUAGCAUACCUGCAGGCAAGGAGGAAUAACAGGCUGUACGGUGAGAGUGAACCUGUCUGUCAGUGUUUGUCUGGGAAGCAACAGGCAGCUCGUAACCGCCAACGGUGCGCUGGCAGACCUGUCUGUCUGCCUGGACGGGUUCCGCCUUAUAGUCCUGUUUGUGUCAUGUUAACGACUUCAAAACAAACCACUCUUCCCUGCUUUCACAUAGUGCCAGCACCAGAGAGGCUGAUCGACACCCCAUUUCAGUUCAGGGGUGUAGUUAGGCACACAAUUGUGUUUCACUCAUGUUAGUUGAGGAGUAACCAAUGAUAACUACCACAAAGUAGCAACCCAAUAGUCCCUCUGUGUUUGUGUGUGAUUGUCAGAUUGCCUCAUGUUCCACAUUAUGGCUUAACACUGCUAACCCUAUCAGCAUUCAAACUGUAGGGCCAUUAUCCAAUGCUUUAUUGAAUUAUAUAAUAGCCUCCUAAUUUGGCAGAAUAACUUUGCUGCACACAUUACAGAUAUUGUUGCCAAGUACCUCAACUGAGUGCAGACUAGAGUUCCUUAAAUGAACCUCUGACUCGCGAUAUGUCGAUACUUAAAAAAAAAAAAAACAUUCUUAAACCCUUAUCAUGUACCUAUGUUUGUCCUCUGUUGUUCCGUGCCUUUCUUUGUUUGCUGAAAUCCGUUUUUUUUUUUUAUUAAACGUUAAUCAAAUACAACCACUGACUGUUUCCUCAUUGCUGGUGCUCUAAGAUGGCAACUCAGCCGCGAAUGCCAAUUGAAUCUCAACAAGGAAAACAUCUGGGGUUGUAUUUGAUUAACGUUUUAUAAAAAAGGUAUGGAUUUCAGCAAAGAAAUGCACGCAACAAAGGACAAACAUAGGUAGGCCUACAAGUCACUCAGGAAAGUACCAGCCCGACCCGCCUCCUGUCCUGGACAGCUACAGAGGAACACAGAGCAGAACACAGACAUAAAGACGUCCUCGUCGGAUACAAACGCAACACACACAGCAGUGUUCUGAGGUUUCACGGCAGAGGAAGCCAAGAGGACAAACACACACAGCGGCUCCAUCUCUCUCUCUUCCUGCACUCCCUCUGCUGCAUCUCAGGGGACUGAGGUUGCUCUACCCGAGCCUCUCUCCCCCCACGGCCGGACGCUGCAGAUUGAUGAUGCCGCAGCAGUCGAUGGAUCGCUGUGAGGUUUCAGAGAACUGCCACCAUCUUAGCCCGGGGGCCCAGGGGAGCCAGCGGCGCCUGGUCAGUGGACUCCUUCUCUGGGUCGGUCUCCUCACCGUCAGCCACGUGGUCUCCAUCACCCUCCUCGUCAUCACCAGGCCACACGCACUGCCUCUGCCAGAAAUAGUUUCAGCUCCAAAACCCACAGCAGACACAUCUCCGGUAAGCUAACCACAAGACGGGUUUAAACAUGUUUCCAACCUCAAAACAUGUUUUAACAUGUCCCAUGCAAACGUUUUGUUCAUUUUUGCCCCCUCCAAGACAGAGAGUAGUCAUAACAUCAUCAUCAUCAUGAUAUACAUGGCCUGCCAAUAGGAUAUACAAUAGA